CUACAGAGGGUGCGAGCGUUAAUCGGAAUUACUGGGCGUAAAGCGCGCGUAGGCGGCUGAUUAAGUCAGAUGUGAAAUCCCAGGGCUCAACCUUGGAACUGCAUCUGAUACUGGUCAGCUAGAGUUUAUGAGAGGGAAGUAGAAUUUCAGGUGUAGCGGUGAAAUGCAUAGAUAUCUGAAGGAAUACCAGUGGCGAAGGCGGCUUCCUGGCCUAAAACUGACGCUGAGGUGCGAAAGCGUGGGUAGCAAACGGGAUUAGAAACCCCGGUAGUCC
Molecule: ribosomal RNA, 274 nt
Filed under: uncultured bacterium
Lineage: Bacteria
Description: partial 16S ribosomal RNA
Rfam family: Bacterial small subunit ribosomal RNA
Source: RNAcentral